This 584-nucleotide long non-coding RNA is filed under the name Rhinopithecus bieti (black snub-nosed monkey). Its description in RNAcentral is "lncRNA (ENSRBIG00000045431.1)". The record is from RNAcentral. Lineage: Eukaryota; Metazoa; Chordata; Mammalia; Primates; Cercopithecidae.
CACGACUUCUGGCUUGAGCCUGAACUUAGAAUGCAGCCUCUGGGUCGCUCCUCCAUCCUCCCAGCAGAUGGCAGUGUGCAUAUGGGAACCAAGAGCAGGUCUCAGGCCAGCUGAGGCAAAGCCUCUGGGACUACAGCUGAGGAAGAAGAACGCUUUCUACCUGCACUGCCAAGAUGGAAAACAGAAGGCUAAUUAUGGGUUUUAUUUAUAGGAAAUCAUAAUGAAGUGAGAAUUGUCUCUAUUCUUAAUAAGAGAUAAUGUGCCCAUUAAUCACAAAUAUAUAUAUACCAGAAACAGGAAGAAGCAUGAACAUGUCAUCUCUGAGUGCAGUCCUCAGUCCUAGAGUGGGACAGCUAAUCGCUUGCCAAGAGCCCGCCCACUACCUCUCUGCAAUUAGUCGUGAAGUUGAAGGAGCUCCAAACUCCGCAGGCGCACUCAGGGCCUCCUGCUCCUAUGGCUUGUUUUCAGGUUAGCAGAAACUUUCUUUCCUCUGGUGGUAGGGCCUGGUUGCCCUGGCACAGAGACAGUUGGGUAAAGGGAGUGAGGGAGUGGGCAGCAGAUAGACAACUAAAGGUAAAGCGGGG